Molecule: ribosomal RNA, 164 nt
Filed under: uncultured bacterium
Lineage: Bacteria
Description: partial 16S rRNA
Rfam family: Bacterial small subunit ribosomal RNA
Source: RNAcentral
UAGGGAAUCUUCCACAAUGGACGAAAGUCUGAUGGAGCAACGCCGCGUGAGUGAAGAAGGUUUUCGGAUCGUAAAGCUCUGUUAUUGGUGAAGAAGGAUAGAGGCAGUAACUGGUCUUUAUUUGACGGUAAUCAACCAGAAAGUCACGGCUAACUACGUGCCAA